RNAcentral lists this ribosomal RNA (161 nucleotides) under Cochlearia danica. RNAcentral's name for it is "5.8S ribosomal RNA". It matches the Rfam family "5.8S ribosomal RNA". From Rfam's summary of the family: 5.8S ribosomal RNA (5.8S rRNA) is a component of the large subunit of the eukaryotic ribosome. It is transcribed by RNA polymerase I as part of the 45S precursor that also contains 18S and 28S rRNA. The record is from RNAcentral. Lineage: Eukaryota; Viridiplantae; Streptophyta; Magnoliopsida; Brassicales; Brassicaceae. RNAcentral also lists the same sequence under 5 other names.
AAACGACUCUCGGCAACGGAUAUCUCGGCUCUCGCAUCGAUGAAGAACGUAGCGAAAUGCGAUACUUGGUGUGAAUUGCAGAAUCCCGUGAACCAUCGAGUCUUUGAACGCAAGUUGCGCCCUAAGCCUUUUGGCCGAGGGCACGUCUGCCUGGGUGUCAC